RNAcentral lists this ribosomal RNA (253 nucleotides) under uncultured bacterium. Its description in RNAcentral is "partial 16S ribosomal RNA". It matches the Rfam family "Bacterial small subunit ribosomal RNA", at positions 524 to 776 of the family's 1533-position model. The record is from RNAcentral.
UACGAAGGGGGCUAGCGUUGUUCGGAAUCACUGGGCGUAAAGGGCGCGUAGGCGGCCCAGCAAGUCGGGGGUGAAAGCCUGUGGCUCAACCACAGAAUGGCCUUCGAUACUGUUGGGCUCGAGACCGGAAGAGGUUGGUGGAACUGCGAGUGUAGAGGUGAAAUUCGUAGAUAUUCGCAAGAACACCAGUGGCGAAGGCGGCUCACUGGUCCGGAACUGACGCUGAGGUGCGAAAGCGUGGGGAGCAAACAGG